GCUAGGGGGUCAUCCCGACUUACCAACCCCAUGCAAACUCCGAAUACCGAGAAGUGCAAUUACGGGAGACAGACGGCGGGUGAUAACGUCCGUCGUCAAAAGGGAAACAACCCAGACCAUCAGCUAAGGUCCCAAAAUUAUGGCUCAGUGGAAAACGAUGUGGGAAGGCCCAGACAGCUAGGAGGUUGGCUUAGAAGCAGCCACCCUUUAAAGAAAGCGUAAUAGCUCACUAGUCGAGUCGGCCUGCGCGGAAGAUGUACCGGGGCUUAAGCCAUAUACCGAAGCUAUGGAUGCGUGUUUACACGCAUGGUAGAGGAGCGUUGUGUAAGUCUGUGAAGGUGUGUUGAGAAGCAUGCUGGAGAUAUCACAAGUGCGAAUGCUGACAUGAGUAACGAUAAAGGGGGUGAGAGGCCCCCUCGCCGAAAAUCCAAGGUUUCCUGCUCAACGUUAAUCGGAGCAGGGUGAGUCGGCCCCUAAGGCGAGGCAGAAAUGCGUAGUCGAUGGGAAACAGGUUAAUAUUCCUGUACUUGUUAUUACUGCGAUGGGAUGACGGAGAAGGUUAGGUCAGCCAACUGUUGGAUAUGUUGGUUUAACUGCGUAGGCGUGCUGAAUAGGAAAAUCCGUUUGGCUUAGCUGAGACAGGACGACGAGUGCCAUUAGGCGCGAAGUGAUUGAUACCCUGCUUCCAGGAAAAGUCUCUAAGCUUCAGGUAAUAACAAACCGUACCCCAAACCGACACAGGUGGAUGGGAUGAGAAUUCUAAGGCGCUUGAGAGAACUCUGGUGAAGGAACUAGGCAAAAUAGCACCGUAACUUCGGGAGAAGGUGUGCCCCUGUUAGGUGAAGUGACUUGCUCACGGAGCUGAAGGGGGUUGCAAUGACCAGGUGGCUGCGACUGUUUAUUAAAAACACAGCACUCUGCAAACUCGAAAGAGGACGUAUAGGGUGUGACGCCUGCCCGGUGCUGGAAGGUUAAUUGAUGAUGUUAGUUUCGACGAAGCAUUUGAUCGAAGCCCCAGUAAACGGCGGCCGUAACUAUAACGGUCCUAAGGUAGCGAAAUUCCUUGUCGGGUAAGUUCCGACCUGCACGAAUGGCGUAACGAUGGCCACACUGUCUCCACCAGAGACUCAGUGAAAUUGAAAUUGCGGUUAAGAUGCCGUAUACCCGCGGCUAGACGGAAAGACCCCGUGAACCUUUACUACAGCUUUGCACUGAACUUUGAACCUACUUGUGUAGGAUAGGUGGGAGACGUUGAAGCGAUGACGCUAGUUAUCGUGGAGUCAACCUUGAAAUACCACCCUGGUAUGUUUGGAGUUCUAACCUACGCCCAUUAUCUGGGCGAGGGACAGUGUAUGGUGGGUAGUUUGACUGGGGCGGUCUCCUCCCAAAUUGUAACGGAGGAGCACGAAGGUACACUAAGCAUGGUCGGACAUCAUGCGGUUAGUGCAAUGGCAAAAGUGUGCUUGACUGCGAGACAGACACGUCGAGCAGGUACGAAAGUAGGUCAUAGUGAUCCGGUGGUUCUGAAUGGAAGGGCCAUCGCUCAACGGAUAAAAGGUACUCCGGGGAUAACAGGCUGAUACCGCCCAAGAGUUCACAUCGACGGCGGUGUUUGGCACCUCGAUGUCGGCUCAUCACAUCCUGGGGCUGUAGCCGGUCCCAAGGGUAUGGCUGUUCGCCAUUUAAAGUGGUACGCGAGCUGGGUUUAGAACGUCGUGAGACAGUUCGGUCCCUAUCUGCCGUGGGCGUUUGAGAAUUGAGAGGAGCUGCUCCUAGUACGAGAGGACCGGAGUGGACGUACCCCUGGUGUUCGGGUUGUUGUGCCAACAGCAUUGCCCGGUAGCUAUGUACGGACGGGAUAACCGCUGAAAGCAUCUAAGCGGGAAGCCCCCCUCAAGAUAAGUUCUCACUGGGAUUUAAUCCCCUAAAGGGCCGUGGAAGACUACCACGUUGAUAGGCUGGGUGUGGAAGUGCAGUAAUGUAUGGAGCUAACCAGUACUAAUUGCCCGUGAGGCUUGACCAU
RNAcentral lists this ribosomal RNA (2023 nucleotides) under Methylophaga sulfidovorans. RNAcentral's name for it is "bacterial LSU rRNA". It matches the Rfam family "Bacterial large subunit ribosomal RNA", at positions 918 to 2925 of the family's 2925-position model. Lineage: Bacteria; Pseudomonadati; Pseudomonadota; Gammaproteobacteria; Thiotrichales; Piscirickettsiaceae. The record is from RNAcentral.